Molecule: ribosomal RNA, 816 nt
Filed under: Borreliella garinii
Lineage: Bacteria; Pseudomonadati; Spirochaetota; Spirochaetia; Spirochaetales; Borreliaceae
Description: bacterial SSU rRNA
Rfam family: Bacterial small subunit ribosomal RNA
Source: RNAcentral
GCGUCUUAAGCAUGCAAGUCAAACGGGAUGUAGCAAUACAUCUAGUGGCGAACGGGUGAGUAACGCGUGGAUGAUCUACCUACGAGAUGGGGAUAACUAUUAGAAAUAGUAGCUAAUACCGAAUAAAGUCAAUUAAUUUGUUAAUUGAUGAAAGGAAGCCUUUAAAGCUUCGCUUGUAGAUGAGUCUGCGUCUUAUUAGCUAGUUGGUAGGGUAAAUGCCUACCAAGGCGAUGAUAAGUAACCGGCCUGAGAGGGUGAACGGUCACACUGGAACUGAGAUACGGUCCAGACUCCUACGGGAGGCAGCAGCUAAGAAUCUUCCGCAAUGGGCGAAAGCCUGACGGAGCGACACUGCGUGAAUGAAGAAGGUCGAAAGAUUGUAAAAUUCUUUUAUAAAUGAGGAAUAAGCUUUGUAGGAAAUGACAAGGUGAUGACGUUAAUUUAUGAAUAAGCCCCGGCUAAUUACGUGCCAGCAGCCGCGGUAAUACGUAAGGGGCGAGCGUUGUUCGGGAUUAUUGGGCGUAAAGGGUGAGUAGGCGGAUAUAUAAGUCUAUGCAUAAAAUACCACAGCUCAACUGUGGAACUAUGUUGGAAACUAUAUGUCUAGAGUCUGAUAGAGGAAGUUAGAAUUUCUGGUGUAAGGGUGGAAUCUGUUGAUAUCAGAAAGAAUACCGGAGGCGAAGGCGAACUUCUGGGUCAAGACUGACGCUGAGUCACGAAAGCGUAGGGAGCAAACAGGAUUAGAUACCCUGGUAGUCUACGCUGUAAACGAUGCACACUUGGUGUUAACUAAAAGUUAGUACCGAAGCUAACGUG